UCUAUGAAAGUCUGGUUCUGGUAUUGUGAUUCUUGUUUGUGGAUAAAUUCAUAGGUGGAAGACAUGGUAUGUUUAUUAUUGGAAGCUGUAUUCAUGGUAUUGUGAUUCUGGUAGGCCACACUAACCCAAAUAUUCUUCCAACACACAUCGAUAACAUUAGUGUGCAACGGCUAGCGAUUGAGGACCCUGCAACCCUAAAACCCUACAGUCUUAGUAUAGUGACGACAUUAGCAGUCAACGGUGAUAAAUUCUUUUUCAACAUUAUUUAGGACUCUCACAGUAGCUUACAACAAAGUUUUCCUUCUAUUGGACAAGGAUUAAGCAAAUUCGGACACCACCAAGCAAAGAUUUGGGUUCUUUUGGAUUCAGAAUAGUUUCAAAACUCUUCGAAUACUUUUCAGCAAGAAUAUGAGACUAUUUUUUUUAGACUUGAUUCAAAGUGUCCGAAUUGAGAUUUAAAAUUUCUUUGGGAGUCUUUCAAAUAUUUUAUAAGUUCUUUUAUAUGCGUCGUGCAAGUGGAAUUCUACUUCUGGAGUCUAUUUGUUGUGUGCUAGCAUGUUUUGGUCUUCUAUUGUAAUUUAUAUAUUAUUUAUGACUACAUAUUGAUCAUCUUGAAUCAUGUGUUUUGGCUAAAUAAUAGCAUGUUAUGAUGUCAUGUAGUAGUGUAAUAGCUUACGUGUGAAUGAGUUAUUAAGUGAUAUGGUGCAUAUGACUUUGUUGACUUGUUGAGAAUGUUUGGUUAUGCAUAUGAUUAUGUUGGAGGCAUGUUGUUACUUUAUGUGUUUUGAUAUGAGAUAUGGUUUAGGAUUAUAUGGUAGAAAUCAUGCAUUGGUGAGAUUUUAUGAGAAAGGGGUUGAGAACCUUGUGAACUUGUAAAGAAAAUGUCUCAAUGUUGGAGGCAUGUUGUUACUUUAUGUGUUUUGGCAUGAAAUUUUUGUUCUUAUGUUUACGCCUCUCAACUGUUUGUGUAAAUGUCUCAAUAAAAGCCAGCUAUGGUUUCACUCCAAUAUGUCUCUUUGCUCCUAGAUUUUGGCCUUUUUAUGUGUCUAUGGCCUUUGAAAUUCGAUUUGAUUAAUGGUUUUGUUGUAUAUGAUACAUUUGUUGAAUUACUUGAAGUUCUAGUGCAUAAUUACUUGCUACCUUUUGUGAUAACAUCCUUAAGAAAGGUAGGAGUGAGAAGCUGAGUGAUGAAGCAAUUAAGGAGACACUUGAGAAGGUAAUUUUUACUGUGAUUUGGUGUAUCUCAUUUGGAUGUGUUUUUACUGUGUACUGGAAGUUUGCUGCUGUAGUUGGCAAAAAUUAGCAAUUUGGAUGUGGGUAGUUGUUAGCCUAAGCAUACUGGAAAAUAAUAAGUGUUAUCUUCUGGACUAUGGUGCUGAAAUAGUUGUUUGGGUUGGAAGAGUGAUGCAAGUAGAGGAGCGAAAAGCAACAAUUCAAGUAGUUGAGGAAUUUAUUGCCAGCCAGAAUAAGCCAAAGGCAACUCGUGUGACUCGGGUUAUACAAGGCUAUGAAACACAUUCUUUUAAGUCCAACUUCGAGUCCUGGCCAGUUGGAUCAGUGACUAUAGGUGCUGAGGAAGGAAGAGGAUAGUAGCUGGUAGUUACCACAUCUAAUUAAUAAAAUGAGUUUUUUAUUCUGCUUGCUUUAAUUAUUAUUCAAAAUGGUACUCUUUUUGUAAACAACUCUAUUGAAGCAACAAGAUCUCGAUCUCAAGGGAUUAACAAAAUGUGCACCAGUGAAUGAGGAAGUUCCACCGUUGCUGGAGGGAGAGGAUAUUGCUUGCAGAGGAUAUUGGUAAAUUUUAUAGUGGAGACUGCUACAUCAUUCUUUGCACCUAUCACUCUGGUGAGAGGAAAGAUGAUUAUUUCUUGUGCUCUUGGUUUGGAAAGGAUAGCAUCGAGGAAGAUCAAAAGAUGGCUACACGGUUGACGAAUACAAUGUCCAACUCGCUGAAAGGAGACUUGUUUAGCAUACAAUAACUGAGCAGAUAAUUGAGAAGUCCCACAUCGGCGGAACUGGCGGCAGGGACUUCACAAAGCGCUAUUAAUAGAGGACAAUGGCAAGCAUUUGAACAUACUUACCUGGACGGGGUUUAUGGGCGAUCAGCAAGGUCCAUGGCCUAGGUUGGUGACCUCCAUUGCACAUACCGGAGGGGUGCUCGCCUAAGGUCUGCCCAAAGUGGUAGAGCUUACGUCAUAAUUUGUGGCAGUGGGGGCCUGCGUUCGCGCGGCCCCUUCCAAAUUCCUCAGUUUAUCAAUGUCUUCAUCUUCUUUUAGGAUGUAAAUGGAACGUAACGUGGAGGGAGGACUUUUUGUUCAUCAUGUGCAAUGUGGGGAUUUGUUAGUUUUAACUGCAACAAAAUAAGGAAAAAUUAGAAUUGGAAGAGGCAUUUGUAAAAACGAAAAUGAAUGAAAACUAACUUUUUUGCCGACUGUAUGCAGUGGUAAUUGGAGCCCUAAUGUGAUAUCCAUUUUAAUGAUUGGGCCAAUCAGUCGUUCGUAAUAGGGUUCGCGAUGGGUGAGAUAUUACUAACGCAGUGGUGAAGUGCUCUGACGUAAGUUUAGUUUUUAUUUUAUUUUUUCUAAGACUGUCAUUUUGCAUUAAUUCAUUUUAUAGGAACGAGUCAUUCUGCAUUAAUACCAUUGGUAUUGGUUCAUCUGUACCAAAAUUUCAAGAAUGAAAUUGUUUCUCCUUUUCAUAUAUGUACUCUUGUGAGUAAGCUGCCAAAAUCUUCAUAAUAUGCAUCCUUUAUGGGAAGCUGAGAUUAUUGAUGGUUCUGAAUGUUCUCUUCAGAAUUCUCGUAAUAUGCAGGAUAUCUGUCUAUUGUAUUGUAUCUCCAGAUUGUGAUGGAUGACACUAGAAGUUAUCCACAAUUCUCAAAUGGCAAGCAAGUUCUUAUAUCUUCAAUAAUGUUUGUCAAGUUCAUUUUCAUUCCCCGUUUGACCUUAUGAGGUGCUUAACCAGUUGAGUGAUAUUAAUGCCAGACAUUUCUUUUGUGACACCAAAUCUUAUUCCAGGUUGAGGCAUGGGAUCUGUAUUCUCCAUCAUGUCUAUAUAAAAUGGAAGCGGAAGUGCAAACUUUAUAUUCUGGUCUUCUGUGAGAUAUUUGUUCCUGAGAUUUUGGACUGAUAAUUGAAGAGUUUUUCAUGCUAGAUUUGCAGAUUGGUUGGAUGCAAUUUUAGUGAUAAGAUCAUUAAGAACAAAUUCCUUAAAUCGGGGAGGAAAAGGCAUUUCCAGCCUUCCAUUUUGACUGAUGUAUUUUCCUUUUUAUUGGAUUAUUUGGGAGAAUAUUUUGAGAGUGUUGUUUGCAAGGGAAAUUAUGCACUAGUUUGUUCAUGAACAUGAUACUUACAAAAAUGAAAAUCGCUUCUCUUUAGGAAGGA
Benincasa hispida (wax gourd) is the source of this 3383-nucleotide non-coding RNA. The record is from RefSeq and is a predicted model, not a curated record. NCBI's taxonomy places the organism in Eukaryota, Viridiplantae, Streptophyta, Magnoliopsida, Cucurbitales, Cucurbitaceae.